AGGAGGAUGAGAAAAAUAGGUUGGGAAGAAUAGGUUGUUUGCGAGGAAAGAAUAGAAAUAGAAAGAGCCACCGUAGAGUGAGAGAGUAGAGUCGCAGACUCGUAGAGGUCAGUAUGGAGGGAGAUGUCGGCAUUGAUUUGCUUCAUGAGUAGAAUUGGAGGAGGACAAAAAUGAGAAGGGGUGAGAAGAAAAAAGAAGAAGGGUCACCACGAAGAAGAGGAAAAAUAUAACUGCUGGCCCUAACAAGAAAUCGUGGACUUAACUGUCUUCCCAAACAAACUAAAAGGAAAAAAAUGA
This 297-nucleotide long non-coding RNA is filed under the name Elaeis guineensis (African oil palm). Its description in RNAcentral is "long non-coding RNA (EGUI_LNC072357)". Lineage: Eukaryota; Viridiplantae; Streptophyta; Magnoliopsida; Arecales; Arecaceae. The record is from RNAcentral.